UGGGGAAUCUUGCACAAUGGGGGCAACCCUGAUGCAGCGACGCCGCGUGAGCGAUGAAGCCCUUCGGGGCGUAAAGCUCUUUCGACCGGAACGAUAAUGACGGUACCGGGAGAAGAAGCUGCGGCUAACUACGUGCCAGCAGCCGCGGUAAUACGUAGGCAGCAAGCGUUGUUCGGAGUUACUGGGCGUAAAGGGUGCGUAGGCGGUUUUCUAAGUUCGGUGUGAAAUCUCCCGGCUUAACUGGGAGGGUGCGCCGAAGACUGGGAAGCUGGAGUGUGGGAAAGGCAGGCGGAAUUCCUGGUGUAGCGUUGAAAUUCUUAGAUAUCAGGAGGAACACCGGCGGUGUAGACGGCUUGCUAGACCAUACCUGACGCUGAGGCACGAAAGCGUGGGUAGCAAACA
RNAcentral lists this ribosomal RNA (402 nucleotides) under uncultured bacterium. Its description in RNAcentral is "bacterial SSU rRNA". It matches the Rfam family "Bacterial small subunit ribosomal RNA", at positions 355 to 774 of the family's 1533-position model. The record is from RNAcentral.